Molecule: long non-coding RNA, 1148 nt
Organism: Daucus carota subsp. sativus
Lineage: Eukaryota; Viridiplantae; Streptophyta; Magnoliopsida; Apiales; Apiaceae
Exons: 6
Source: RefSeq, a predicted model, not a curated record
GAGUCAGCAAGACAAGCUAGACUCCUGCGUUAUAGCUACUCUGAAGAUCGUGAUCUCUAUGUCACUGGUGACUUGUGCUCUACCUACAAAAUACUGGUGUCAAAUUUCUACUUAUUAUGUGCAUGUCUUUAUACAAUUGCGAACAUCUUAUUUUUUUUUUAUCAUUUAGUUGUCGCAUUCUAAUCAUCAUCUAUAAUCUUGGCUUUUAGGAAUUUAGAAGUUCCUAUGACUUGAGCUGCCUCAGACAAUAUUGUUUAAUAUAAAAGUCUUUCAAAGACUGAAAAUCUUGGGCACUAACUCAAUGGUACAGGGAUGCUGCAUGUUGUGUCCUGCUGAAAUGAAGGAAAAAUUGGAAGACAGGUUAUGAUUGCCAUCGUACUUGAACAAGUCCCAACGGCCUGAAAGUAACUUUUUCUUUUGCAAUUUUAAACAGGCAAAAGGAGGCUACCCACUUGUGAAAGACAACAAAAAGGAAGGGUGGGUGGUUUGUGAGUGUGAAUAUGAAUAUGAGCAUGAUGUGAAAGAGUCACCAAGCCCUGUGCCUAAUGCUCCUCCACCAAGAAAGGCACCCAAGGCUGUGGAUGAAGAUCUCUACAACAUCUUUCCUGACCUUCUCUAUGCCAAUUCCAAAAGGCUUGGAAGAAGCCACUGGCUUGGUCAUCAUAUUUAUUAUCAGUAGAACAGGAGAUAAAGCAAAAGUGUCAGAACUCGUGAAGGAGGUGGCAAAAUUUGAUGACUUCAUGCUCUUGGAUAUCAAAGAGGAGUGCAGUUGUCCUUCUUUAAAGCCGCCUAUGCACUUUAUGAUUCUGAAUUCUAUGUCAAAGCUGAUGCCGACAUAUUUUUGAGGCCAGGGUUUUGGAUCUCGAUGUGCAAGACAAGGGCGUCUCCUUCAACUUGCUUAUGUUCAACUCGUAUAUUGAAUGUUUACAUAAUGCGCCAGUCAAAAGAAACUCUCAAAGGGAUGAGUCUAUCUUCUUAUUCUAUGCUUGAACAUUUACAGGAAGGGAAGGAGUUUGUGUUUAAACUCAAUCUGGGUAACCACAAAAUGUGUGGACUUAUUCGAAAUUAUGUUGUUGCCUUCACUUUUACGUCAGAUUUUAACUUGAAAAAACCCCGAAGAAAGUUCUGUCUUUACAUGGAGAUGUAUU